This 497-nucleotide ribosomal RNA is filed under the name uncultured bacterium. RNAcentral's name for it is "partial 16S ribosomal RNA". It matches the Rfam family "Bacterial small subunit ribosomal RNA", at positions 28 to 507 of the family's 1533-position model. The record is from RNAcentral.
GAUGAACGCUGGCGGCGUGCCUAAUACAUGCAAGUCGAGCGAACAGACGAGGAGCUUGCUCCUCUGACGUUAGCGGCGGACGGGUGAGUAACACGUGGAUAACCUACCUAUAAGACUGGGAUAACUUCGGGAAACCGGAGCUAAUACCGGAUAAUAUAUUGAACCGCAUGGUUCAAUAGUGAAAGACGGUUUUGCUGUCACUUAUAGAUGGAUCCGCGCCGCAUUAGCUAGUUGGUAAGGUAACGGCUUACCAAGGCAACGAUGCGUAGCCGACCUGAGAGGAUGAUCGGCCACACUGGAACUGAGACACGGUCCAGACUCCUACGGGAGGCAGCAGUAGGGAAUCUUCCGCAAUGGGCGAAAGCCUGACGGAGCAACGCCGCGUGAGUGAUGAAGGUCUUCGGAUCGUAAAACUCUGUUAUUAGGGAAGAACAAAUGUGUAAGUAACUAUGCACGUCUUGACGGUACCUACUCAGAAAGCCACGGCUAACUACGUG